GUCUCUAUAUUAACUUCCUAUCGUAUGCACAGAAUUUAAUCGGUAUUAACCGGUUAACAUGAUCAUAUGUUUUUUCUUUAUGUUUUAGUGUUUUUAAUAUUAAUGCAUGCAUUUGUACUUUUAAUGUCGGCUAUUUCGCAAAUGAAUUCAUAUUAUGGUGUUGGCAUGCCUCAAGACUGGUUUACUUUAUUUGAGAAAUUGUAUUUGCCUCGAACUAGAGUAUGUCCCCAACAUGUUUAUCUGGUCCGCGGUAGAAAACAAUAAAAAAAAACAAAAACUAUAGCACCUGUAAACGGAGUGCGAACUAGCCGCCCGAAUUUACAUGCACCACUUAACGUUAAAGUCUUUAACAAAAAUAUUUUUUUCAUUUUUUUGAUUUUUUUGGAGGGAUGAUAUUUUGUGAAUACGAUUUAAGAUAAUUAUUUGGAAGUCACACUCUAUGUAAUUAUGUGGUGAAAUAACAGUUCUUGAUUUAAUAGAUGGUAUAAGUAAGUACAUUGUAGUUAUACAACCGGAACAGGGUUUGUAGAUGUUUGUUAUUGCGUAUUGGUAUAACACUG
This 560-nucleotide long non-coding RNA is filed under the name Mytilus galloprovincialis (Mediterranean mussel). The record is from RNAcentral. Lineage: Eukaryota; Metazoa; Mollusca; Bivalvia; Mytilida; Mytilidae.